AUCCAAAUAUUAGCUUAACUUAUCACCGCCACGGAUAAGUGCAGUAAUAACAACUUUUUCGUUCACCCCCUCACCAUAUUGUUAAUUACGACACGCCUCGUCAGAUCUAAGUCAAUCUCUCGCUUUAUCAUUUCCUCGCUUAACCAGUGGACUCCUCUCUCUCCAUCGUAGCGGAGAUCGGCAUCCCCGGUUCCGCUUCCGUGGAUCUUGGAUUAGGGUUUCUUCUGGGGUCGGGAAAUGGGACAACAGUCGCUGAUCUACAGCUUCGUCGCGAGGGGCACGGUGAUCUUGGCGGAGUACACCGAGUUCAGCGGCAACUUCAACAGCAUCGCCGCCCAGUGCCUGCAAAAGCUCCCCGCUAGUAACAACAAGUUCACCUACAACUGCGACGGCCACACUUUCAAUUACCUCGUCGAGGACGGAUACACAUAUUGUGUAGUUGCUGUUGAGUCGGUCGGCAGGCAAAUUCCCAUUGCCUUUCUAGAGAGGGUGAAGGAGGACUUCAACAAAAAGUAUGGGGCAGGAAAGGCUGCAACUGCUUCUGCAAAUAGUCUCAGCCGCGAGUUUGGGUCCAAGCUUAAAGAGCACAUGCAGUACUGCGUAGACCACCCUGAAGAGAUAAGCAAGCUUGCCAAGGUGAAAGCUCAGGUUUCUGAAGUCAAAGGAGUUAUGAUGGAAAACAUUGAAAAGGUUCUUGACCGUGGGGAGAAAAUUGAGUUGCUUGUUGACAAGACAGAAAACCUUCAUUCCCAGGCACAAGAUUUUAGGCAGCAAGGGACAAAGAUGAGAAGGAAGAUGUGGCUACAGAACAUGAAGAUCAAACUGAUCGUCUUGGGCAUCAUUAUUGCGCUUAUCCUUAUCAUAGUUUUGUCUGUGUGUCAUGGCUUUAAAUGCUAAUGUCAAUGGAUAUGCUACUGUGGAAACCACCCUUUCCCUUAUAGGACUGGUUCUGUUUGUGUAAUGGUAUAGCCUACUAGUUUCAUGAACACUGGUGAUUUGUGGCUUUAGCAUUCCCGGUUGCGAAUGAGUAUUUUCCUUCCAUGUUCUUGCUUGCUGGGACUUCUAUGUUCUUGCUUGCUGGGAACCGGGAUGGGAGUAGCUUAGCAUAUUGUAUGUCAUGCGUGUAUAGCCUGGACGUGAUUCUUUCUUUCCAUAUGAACAGGCAGUUGCUUUGUUGAUGCUUUA
This is an RNA transcript of Musa acuminata AAA Group (dessert banana), 1185 nucleotides long. It is a transcript of the gene named putative vesicle-associated membrane protein 726, with no coding region annotated. NCBI's taxonomy places the organism in Eukaryota, Viridiplantae, Streptophyta, Magnoliopsida, Zingiberales, Musaceae. The transcript is spliced from 5 exons. The record is from RefSeq and is a predicted model, not a curated record.